UUGCACAAUGGAGGAAACUCUGAUGCAGCGACGCCGCGUGAACGAUGAAGGCCUUCGGNUCGUAANGNUCUGUCCUAGGGGACGGNCAUGACGGUACCCUAGGAGGAAGCGCCGGCGAACUACGUGCCAGCAGCCGCGGUAAUACGUAGGGGGCGAGCGUUGUCCGGAAUUAUUGGGCGUGAAGGGUUCGUAGGCGGUUCUUUAAGUAAGGUGUGAAAGGUCACGGCUCAACCGUGGUAAGCACUUGAAACUGAAGGACUUGAGUUAAGGAGGGGAAAGUGGAACUCCUAGUGUAGCGGUGAAAUGCGUAGAUAUUAGGAGGAAUACCAGUGGCGAAGGCGACUUUCUGGACUUAUACUGACGCUGAGGAACGAAAGCGUGGGGAGCAAAC
RNAcentral lists this ribosomal RNA (391 nucleotides) under uncultured bacterium. RNAcentral's name for it is "partial 16S ribosomal RNA". It matches the Rfam family "Bacterial small subunit ribosomal RNA", at positions 364 to 773 of the family's 1533-position model. The record is from RNAcentral.